Long non-coding RNA from Oncorhynchus kisutch (coho salmon), 1541 nucleotides. RefSeq lists it as uncharacterized. The record is from RefSeq and is a predicted model, not a curated record. The transcript has 2 exons. NCBI's taxonomy places the organism in Eukaryota, Metazoa, Chordata, Actinopteri, Salmoniformes, Salmonidae.
AUUAUUCUACAAUGCAAAAAAUAAAGAAAACCCCUGGAAUGAAUAGGUGUGUCCAAACUUUAGACUGGUACUGUACAUUACUUCUAAACUAGAUUUAUUUUCUUACUAUAUGUUUGAGUGAUGAUCUUUAAUUCACAGGCCACAUACAAAACCUGGUGGAUUUGUUGUUCAGCAGCAUCGUGGUCCGUCCUGGAAUUCACCUAAACACCAUUUAUAAUGUAAUCAGUGCUGUGUUGUCCGCUUCCACUGUGCCAAUGGACUACUAUUGGGCAAUGCCCCCCCCCCCAAAAAAAAAAUUAUGCACUGAGCGAAUUUGUGCAACUUCCGGUGCAACCAAUGUGUGGUGUUCAAUGUAGAGACCUUUGGAAAAACACAUGCAGGCUUGACAUUAACCUGCUUAUCCACUUGUCUUUCAGAGAAGGACAUGACUGAAAAUGUUGUUUGAUGCAAGAAACUACUUUCAAAAUAAAGAUCAUUAUUAUUGCCAUACCAUUUAUUACAGAGAAUCAAGAGAUCAUGCUACGUUCUGCCUGUUGGCUACUUAGCAUUCAAAAAGUCUCAAAAUACAACACUGCCCAUUUUAAGACACAAAAAAGCUCUUUACCUGGCUAGCUUUUCAAAGAUGGCUAGAAAUGCACACAUUUUGUGCUCUUGUAUGAAGAAAUCACUCCCCCAUUAUUGACUAGAAAUGAGCUAUAACUGGGCUAAUAACUCGCCUACUAGUUUAGAAUAUGAAAAAACGUGCACGUGGCUACAUGCAGCUCUCGCUUUCGUCGCAAAACAAGCGCAUCUACUCACUACCGCUCAUGCUGUAGCCUAAACAACAGUCCAGUUUAAAGGAAAUGGCACAGAUCCAUAUAUGGCAAUGGAUAUUUACAUAUAGGCCGACUGCAGCUCUUACUGGUUAUGGUGCACUGGUCUGUGCCUGUCAAUGCAAUAGAAUCCUACUCCAAUGCACUCUGCCUACAAGAAAAUCUCUUUGCAUACUAUGUUCGUUUUGGUAUGUAACAUUGAAAGUGAUUCGAUCACAAUUCCCACACUAGAGCGAAACGUAAAACUCUAGAAAGUUGAAGUUCACUCUAGUGCUUCUCUGAGUGGGCUGUUACUACUUCUGCACAGCAGUCAAGGGAAGCUGCUCGCCUGCGCUUGCAGCUUUGAGGGAACAUUGCUCCUGGGCCUGAGUGAGUAAUGCCAACCAGUCAGUGCCAUGCUGGCACGUGUCCCUUGUGAAUUAGCCAAUCAGAGAUCCUAAUUCACAGCUAUGUUCAACCGUGUGUUUAGUGUUGGCUUCUAUGACUGUAUGGUGCCUGUCUGUGUGAUAUAGGAGCUGAAGUCAGGCUCCUUCAUGACCAGUAUCUAUGAUGAGUGGCCUGGAGCUGAUCUACUCUGCCAUGCCCAUCAGGCAUUGGCAAACACCUCAGAAGAUGGGCAGAAUAGAUUAUUUUUAAAUGGAGUCCUUUGACUGAAAGAAAGGUUGAUACUGAUGACUGUAUUGGGAGAGACCUUGCAAGACAAUUAAACAAGACACAUCUAUUACUUUC